RNAcentral lists this long non-coding RNA (639 nucleotides) under Suricata suricatta (meerkat). RNAcentral's name for it is "lncRNA (ENSSSUG00005000303.1)". The record is from RNAcentral. Lineage: Eukaryota; Metazoa; Chordata; Mammalia; Carnivora; Herpestidae.
CAUGCAAAUCCCUGUCACUGCUAGAUAUGUGUCCCUGCCCAGCUCCCAUCUCAAACAGGAGUGGCCCCAAACGCUGUGCUCCGUGUGGCAGAGAGUAGAAGAGACACACAGAUCAGACUGAUGGAUGAAAUGGGCACCAACUAACUGGAUGAUUCCAGGAACUGCUACUAUCAACCUGGAUAGCCCAGCCAGCCACGGCACCUGGAAUUGUUCCCACUGAAAUACAGGCUGGAGUAAAGUGUUGUCAGCUGGAUGGCUGCUGCAGUUCCAGCCCUCAAAUCAGCACCCCAAAGAAAAGCAUCACUUCUGGAAGCUGGGCCAGAAGAUCGAAGAAGAAUGUUUCUUUGAUGCAUCUUAUUGACCAAAAUUGGGCCACAUGCCUGUUCCUGAGCCAUCACCAGGAAAGAAGUGGAAAAGCACAUUGCUCAGGGCCAGAGAGAGUGUCAGCUUUCCUCAAGGUAUCUGGACUGGAUGGGUGAAAUGAGCCAUACAGAUGAAACAUCCAGAACUUAACAUUACUCACUUCUAAAGGAGCAAAGCACGUCUCCGACGAGGGCAUGUUUGUCCAGACUCACCUAACAGACUUUCAGUUAAUGACACUUCACUGUCAUGGCUUUGGAAAAAUUAAACCAGUUUUCA